Molecule: long non-coding RNA, 413 nt
Filed under: Xyrichtys novacula (pearly razorfish)
Lineage: Eukaryota; Metazoa; Chordata; Actinopteri; Labriformes; Labridae
Source: RNAcentral
UCUUCAGAGGAGUUAGCGAAAUUCCAAUGUGUGGGGAUCUGCAAAAAAUGCGAAAUAACCCUUUAACCGUACAUUUGACAGAUACGCCCGCACUGACUUUUUUGUAGAUCUUAUUGAGAUACAUGUGUGUGUCAAUUUUUGUGUCAUUUUGACAAAGCGUACAGGCAUGACAGUCAAUAGUGUGAAUUUUCACCUUAGGGGGCGCUAUGGAGCCAUUUUGCAUUUUAUUGUUUGGGCGACUUAAGAAUAUCGAAUUUUUCACCAGGCCCGGUCGUCCUGCCAAAUUUCAUGAGUUUUCGCCAGUGGGAAGUGGGCCAUUUUCCAGUUUAAAGCGGAGGAAAAAUAAUAAUAAUAACACUAGGACCCCGUUGGGGCACUGGCGGGCCCGAGCUGUGUCGCGUCCCCCCCCCCAA